UUUGUUAUUGUGUAGGAAAUAAGGUGUGUGUGUGUGUGUGUGUUGGAGCACUUCCUCUUCAGUGCAGUGUGAAAGUGAUCACAGUUGAGACGUGAUGUUUGAGCAGUAAUUAGAGAAGAAGAAUUAUUCAGGCUUGUGUGUGAACAAUAUCAACAUCAUUCUUUAUUAUUUCUUUCCUAUUUCGUGUGGAAUCCGAGGUCACAAGGGAGAAGUCAGACCUCGGCACCCCACCCUCGGUUGGAGCAGAGUGAGGUCGUAUCGCAGUAGUCAGGAACACGUAAGGAGCCGUUGUCCAGAUUGUGAGAAGGUGCUGAAGCUCCACAUGGACAAUAGUCUAAUCUGGUUCAGCAGCGUAGCAAUAAAAGCUGACUCCUCCGCUGUGGCCCGUAAGUGACGAGUGUUUAGUGGGAAGGAAAUCCAUCAGAAUUCCUCCUGUAAAUAAUCAGUGUUGGAAAACAAAUCAGCAUGUAUCUGUGGAGUGUUUUAUUCUAACGCUCGCUUCAUUUCUGUACAGCUGCUUUGUGAUCAUCUCCAUCGUUAAAAGCUCUAUACAGACCACAUGGAGCUGAACUGAAUGA
This is a long non-coding RNA of Ictalurus punctatus (channel catfish), 578 nucleotides long. The record is from Ensembl. Lineage: Eukaryota; Metazoa; Chordata; Actinopteri; Siluriformes; Ictaluridae.